Long non-coding RNA from Athalia rosae (coleseed sawfly), 765 nucleotides. RefSeq lists it as uncharacterized. The record is from RefSeq and is a predicted model, not a curated record. The transcript has 5 exons. Lineage: Eukaryota; Metazoa; Arthropoda; Insecta; Hymenoptera; Athaliidae.
CUCUAGAUGCUCCAUGCCAGAGGCUACCUGGGCUGCUAUGUAGAUGAGGUCCUCGAAGUGCAUGUAUUUUCCGUCACCGGUUCUCAAAAAGUCAAUUCUGGCCCGAGAUCCCACAUUUCCGGCUGCGGUUUUGGACAGGGUUUGGCUAGGACGUGACACAAUCCCAGAGCGUUUUCUGAAAAAAAUGAUGAAUUCAAAUUGAUCGAGAAUCCAUUUCUCGAUUCAUGAGUACGAGUCCUUUACGGAGAGGCUGUAUCCCCUAGGAGUGUGUUCGCUGGGUCGAACCAAGAACGUACCCCGAGGAUUUUCGUCGACUAGAAGAAGUUUGCCAGCCUCCUUUCUCGAUACGUCAUCGAAGAACCAGCUGUAAGCAUAGAACAGAGCAUUAUCACCCUACGCUGCGAUGGCAAGACAGCGAGUGAACUGAACUGAUUCAUUCGGAAGAAAAAGAAAAACGAUCGUUCGACCGCGACAAAGUUCCACGGUAUCAGACCUUCCUGCUGAGUGGUCAGGUGCAAUACCUUCCACCAAUCUCGUUCCGUGUCAUCCAACACCUCCAUCCGAUCCCCCUUUUCAAAGCUCACGUCGGUGCUUUGUCUUGCCGCAUAUUUGUACAGGGCAACCACGAUCCGAUUGGCCCUUUGCGAGUGAGCUGUGUUCAAAAUUUGAGUGUAUAAAACAGUAGGUCCCAAAAGGCAUGAUCGAGUGAGACUCGUUGCUACGAGGGAAUAAAGCGAUUCUCAAUGACAAUCAUAGCAGUAGUCC